AGAGUUUGAUCCUGGCUCAGAAUCAACGCUGGCGGCGUGCCUAACACAUGCAAGUCGAACGCGAAAGCCCCGCAAGGGGUAAGUAGAGUGGCAAACGGGUGAGUAACACGUGGGUGACCUGCCUUCGAGUGGGGGAUAACGUCCCGAAAGGGACGCUAAUACCGCAUGACAUCCUGCUUUUGGAAAAGCGGAGAUCAAAGCUGGGGAUCGCAAGACCUGGCGCUUGAAGAGGGGCCCGCGCCUGAUUAGCUAGUUGGUAGGGUAACGGCCUACCAAGGCAACGAUCAGUAUCCGGCCUGAGAGGGCGGACGGACACACUGGGACUGAGACACGGCCCAGACUCCUACGGGAGGCAGCAGUGGGGAAUUGUUCGCAAUGGGCGCAAGCCUGACGACGCAACGCCGCGUGGAGGACGAAGAUCUUCGGGUCGUAAACUCCUGUCGACCGGGACGAAAUUCAUGAGGGCGAACAUCCCUCGUGAUUGACGGUACCGGUGGAGGAAGCCCCGGCUAACUCCGUGCCAGCAGCCGCGGUAAUAC
This 539-nucleotide ribosomal RNA is filed under the name uncultured bacterium. Its description in RNAcentral is "bacterial SSU rRNA". It matches the Rfam family "Bacterial small subunit ribosomal RNA", at positions 8 to 526 of the family's 1533-position model. The record is from RNAcentral.